This is a long non-coding RNA of Syngnathoides biaculeatus (alligator pipefish), 577 nucleotides long. RefSeq lists it as uncharacterized. The transcript is spliced from 2 exons. The record is from RefSeq and is a predicted model, not a curated record. Lineage: Eukaryota; Metazoa; Chordata; Actinopteri; Syngnathiformes; Syngnathidae.
UGAAACAACCGGGGAGCAAUUCAGAGUAUCUGUGUCUUGCUCAUGGACACAACAUCAGUGGGUUUGGGUGGGGUCUUGAACCUACUGUUGUUUUCCCCAUGGUGGCAGUCCAGCUAAACCAUUGGUCCUGGCCCAUUAAUUUGGGUCGAUGUGAAAAGUUGAAGUCACCAAAAACAUUGUCAGGCAAUUAGUGUUAGGAUUAAAGAAAAAAAAAUCUUUGAUGAAAAGCCUUGGCAAAAAUUUACAGUUUCAUAUUUUCUUUCUCUCUUUCUUGGUCCUCUUGCACUUGACAACGUCUGGGUCCUCACCUCACCUCUUGGGACGCCCACCUCACAUCUCAAGUCCCAUCCUGCAGACCUCAACCGCCACCGUCAGAUGAAAAUGGACUGAAAGCCUUUACCUGAGGGGGAAACCAAAUUCCUCCACUGAACCCUGAAAGAAAGCCAGUGUGGUAGAUGCCAGGUUGUUGGAAGUUGCACCAAGACACAUUAUCUGCACAACACAGCAAAAGUACAGAAGUAAAAUACAUAUCUUAUUAAACCAUACAUGUGCAUUUAUGGACGUUACAGCACCUUUC